GGUUUGAUCAUGGCUCAGAUUGAACGCUGGCGGGAUGCUUUACACAUGCAAGUCAGACGGCAGCACGGACUUCGGUCUGGUGGCGAGUGGCGAACAGGUGAGUAAUGUAUCGGAACGUGCCUAGUAGCGGGGAUAACUACGCGAAAGCGUAGCUAAUACCACGCUACGCCCUUCGGGGGAAAGCGGGGGACCUUCGGGCCUCGCACUAUUAGAGCGGCCGAUAUCGGAUUAGCUAGUUGGUGGGGUAACGGCUCACCAAGGCGACGAUCCGUAGCUGGUUUGAGGGGACGACCAGCCACACUGGGACUGAGACACGGCCCAGACUCCUACGAGGCAGCGGUGGAGAUUUGGACAAUGGGGAAACCCUGAUCCAGCCAUCCCGCGUGUGUGAUGAAGGCCUUCCGGGUUGUAAAGCACUUUUGGCAGGAAAGAAACUUUGGCCUGGGAUAAUACCCCGUGCAACUGACGAAGGCCUGCAGAAUAAGCACCGGCUAACUACGUACCAGCAACCGCGGUAAUACGUAAGGUGCAAGCGUUAAUCAGGUACUGGGCGUAAAGCGUGCGCAGGCAGUUUGAAGAAAGAUGUGAAAUCCCAGAGCUUAACUUUUGGAACUGCAUUUUUAACUACCGAGCUAGAGUGUGUCAGAGGAGGUGGAAUUCCGCGUGUAGCAGUGAAAUGCGUAGAUAUGCGGAGGAACACCGAUGGCGAAGGCAGCCUCUGGGAUAACACUGACGCUCAUGCACGAAAAGCGUGGGGAGCAAACGGGAUUGGGUACCCUGGUAGUCCACGCCCUAAACGAUGUCAACUAGCUGUUGGGGCCUUCGGGCCUUGGUAUACCAGCUAACGCGUGAAGUUGACCGCCUGGAGUACGGUCGCAAGGUCAUCAAAGGAAUUGAGCGGGGACCCGCACAAGCGGUGGAUGAUGUGGAUUAAUUCGAUGCAACGCGAAAAACCUUACCCUUGACAUGUGGAAUCCCGAAGAGAUUUGGGAGUGCUCGCAAGAGAACCGGAACACAGGUGCUGCAUGGCUGUCGUCAGCUCAUUAAUCGUGAGAUGUUGGGUUAAGUCCCGCAACGAGCGCAACCCUUGUCGUGGAUUGCUACGAAGGGCACUCUAAUGAGACUGCCGGUGACAAACCGGAGGAAGGUGGGGAUGACGUCAAGUCCUCAUGGCCCUUAUGGGUAGGGCUUCACACGUCAUACAAUGGUCGGGACAGAGGGUCGCCAACCCGCGAGGAGCCAAUCCCAGAAACCCGAUCGUAGUCGGAUCGCAGUCUGCGGCUCGACUGCGUGAAGUCAGAAUCGCUAGUAAUCGCGGAUCAGCAUGUCGCGGUGAAUACGUUCCGGGUCUUGUACACACCGCCCGUCACACCAUGAGAGUGGGUUUUACCGAAGUAGUUAGCCUAACCGUAAGGAGGGCAGUGCAGUAGGAUUCAUGACUGGGGUGAAGUCGUAACAAGGUAA
RNAcentral lists this ribosomal RNA (1464 nucleotides) under uncultured Bordetella sp. RNAcentral's name for it is "partial 16S-23S ribosomal RNA intergenic spacer". It matches the Rfam family "Bacterial small subunit ribosomal RNA". Lineage: Bacteria; Pseudomonadati; Pseudomonadota; Betaproteobacteria; Burkholderiales; Alcaligenaceae. The record is from RNAcentral.